UCCUCUAAUAUUUUCUUGGUUUAAAACCAAUAAGGAGCCCUCUCUGUAAUUAUGCAAUACUGCUCAGAUUUGUAAAGUAAGCACAUUAAAAAGCUUUAGAAAGCAGAAUAACCAGCUAACAAGCUACAAAAAUUUCUGAAGACAUAAAUCAAUGCCAUACCUCUAUGACUACAUUGAGGCAAAAUAACGUGGAAAAAAAAAAAAAAAAGAAAGCCUCCAACCCCAAAGCAAUGCACACAGGAAUUCUGUUGUUGUUUUUGUUCCUACGCACAUGCCAUUCAUGUGAGGUGGUGUUUGUGCUUCGCUCGCGGUGGCGGUGGACGUCACUGUCUGGAACUGCACAGGCCUCGUGGUCAGAGGGAUAUGUUUAGGGCCCUCCUGUGAGCCUGACGACAAGGAUAUCAGAAGACAAAUAGACCUUCAGGUAGGCCAAGGUUUCUUUGUUUACCUGUUUACCUUGUACUUUUCAAAGCAAACUGUUUAAGUCACUCUAAUCCAAUGUCAUGACUUGGGGAAGCUUGAAUUGGGACCUUCCAAGCAUGUGAGAUUAGUUACAUACUAUUUAUGUUACAGCUCUGUUUUGCUCUCCUUGCUUAUACGUCCUCCUUUGGCUUGCUCUUUAUCCUGACGUUAGGCUGCAAGUAUUUUUUCCUCAAGCACAGCGAGUAUAGAAGUUGGAUAGGAGACUGGGAAGCAGAUAGAGCACUCACCAUCUUUUCUCACCCAAGGUUUUCUAGGGAAAGGACAGUUCCACAGUGAGGUUAUGGGCAGCUUUGGAAAGUACAACACAAGUUCUACUGAAGUUGCCCCACUUUCAGUCAAUGUGGGGUUUUCCCCACCCCACAAUUUCUAGCUCUCCCAAGUAUGGAAACUUGGAAACAAUGGAAAAAAUGAGGUAGCCUGCCCUUUCAGAAGACAUUUUGUAAUGUCACUCUGCUCGCCUUCCCAUAGCCUGCAGGUGAUGUUGAUCGUGUUUACAGGAAAUGCCAUGAGUAAUUUGCAAAGUGAAAGCAGCUUACACUGGGUGAGGGCCCGUCUGAUGGGACAGAGCCAUGCUGUGUUGCUGGGCUCAUGGGUUGGAGAGGAGCAGCUUGGGGAGGAGUUUGUGUAACAAUUCUUCCAAUACUGGUGUAUUGGAAGGACAGCUUGAGGCCAACGUGACUCUGUCAAAAGACCUUGUUUAGCACUGUCACCUUGCUGGAGGAAACAAAUUCUAGACCCUUUUUCACCUCAUCCUUUUUGCCCUUACCCUGUUGUAUGACUCCAGAAUGCAGCACAGCAUCAGCCCGACAGAACAUACCAGUUAUUUCCUGAAAGUCUUGAAGUACCUCUGUUUCUCCCUACAUAUCCCUUCCCUCAGGGUAAUACUCC
This 1371-nucleotide long non-coding RNA is filed under the name Phasianus colchicus (ring-necked pheasant). RNAcentral's name for it is "lncRNA (ENSPCLG00000007102.1)". The record is from RNAcentral. Lineage: Eukaryota; Metazoa; Chordata; Aves; Galliformes; Phasianidae.